RNAcentral lists this ribosomal RNA (271 nucleotides) under uncultured bacterium. RNAcentral's name for it is "partial 16S ribosomal RNA". It matches the Rfam family "Bacterial small subunit ribosomal RNA", at positions 82 to 354 of the family's 1533-position model. The record is from RNAcentral.
CCUUUGCCGGCGACCGGCGCACGGGUGAGUAACACGUAUGCAACCUGCCCUCUUCAGGGGGACAACCUUCCGAAAGGGAGGCUAAUCCCGCGUAUAUCGGUUUCGGGCAUCCGAGAUCGAGGAAAGAUUCAUCGGAAGAGGAUGGGCAUGCGGCGCAUUAGGCAGUAGGCGGGGUAACGGCCCACCUAACCGACGAUGCGUAGGGGUUCUGAGAGGAAGGUCCCCCACACUGGUACUGAGACACGGACCAGACUCCUACGGAAGGCAGCAG